Molecule: ribosomal RNA, 305 nt
Filed under: uncultured bacterium
Lineage: Bacteria
Description: partial 16S ribosomal RNA
Rfam family: Bacterial small subunit ribosomal RNA
Source: RNAcentral
ACAGCAGCAGCCACGGUAAUACGAAGGGUGCAAGCGUUACUCGGAAUUACUGGGCGUAAAGCGUGCGUAGGUGGUGGUUUAAGUCCGUUGUGAAAGCCCUGGGCUCAACCUGGGAAUUGCAGUGGAUACUGGGUCACUAGAGUGUGGUAGAGGAUAGCGGAAUUUCCGGUGUAGCAGUGAAAUGCGUAGAGAUCGGAAGGAACAUCUGUGGCGAAGGCGACUAUCUGGGCCAACACUGACACUGAGGCACGAAAGCGUGGGGAGCAAACAGGAUUAGAUACCCCAGUAGUCCCUGUCUCUUAUAC